UACGGAGGGUGCUAGCGUUGUUCGGAAUUACUGGGCGUAAAGCGCGCGUAGGCGGACCUGCAAGUCGGGGGUGAAAGCCCGAGGCUCAACCUCGGAACUGCCUUCGAUACUGCGGGUCUCGAGUCCGGGAGAGGUGAGUGGAAUUCCUAGUGUAGAGGUGAAAUUCGUAGAUAUUGGGAGGAACACCAGUGGCGAAGGCGGCUCACUGGACUGGUACUGACGCUGAUGCGCGAAAGCGUGGGGAGCAAACAGG
RNAcentral lists this ribosomal RNA (253 nucleotides) under uncultured bacterium. Its description in RNAcentral is "partial 16S ribosomal RNA". It matches the Rfam family "Bacterial small subunit ribosomal RNA", at positions 524 to 776 of the family's 1533-position model. The record is from RNAcentral.